RNAcentral lists this ribosomal RNA (337 nucleotides) under Neoseiulus idaeus. Its description in RNAcentral is "partial 12S ribosomal RNA". The record is from RNAcentral. Lineage: Eukaryota; Metazoa; Arthropoda; Arachnida; Mesostigmata; Phytoseiidae.
UUUUUAAAUAUUUUAGAGAAAUUUAUUCUGUAAAGGAUUUAACCCCAAAAUCUUACUUUUUUUUGUAUAAUAUACAAAAAUAUAUUACAUUUCAUAUACCUCUAUUUUUUGAUUAUUAAAUUAAUUAUAGCAUUUUCUAUGAUUGUUUAGAAGUAUUUUAGGGAAAGGUGUGGAUUAUAAAAAAGAUUGAAAUAAGUUUUAUUAAUUAGUAUUUAAUGAAAUUUAAAUUGAUAGAUUUAAAUUCAAUAAAAUUUAAAAGUAAAAUUAGUGAAAUAGGCUAAUUUGAAUAGAUUUUUAAAAGUGUACAUAUUGCCCGUCACUCUCUUUUUAGAGAUAA